UUUAAUACAAUUUUUAAGUAGUAUAUACUUAUUAUAAAAACUCAUGUAGUUUGGCGGCAUCUUUAUUUUUAGAGGAACCUGUCUUUUAAUCGAUAAUCCACGAUAAUUUUUACUUAAUUUUAUGUUUUAUAUACCGCCAUCUAGAAUUUCUUUAAAUUUAUUAUUCUAAAUAAUAUUAACAUGUUAGGUAAAGGUGUAGAUUACAAUUAAGUUAAGGUGGGUUACUAUAAAUAUAAUUUAAGGAUAAAUUUAUAAAAAUAAAUUUCGAAAAAGGAUUUAAAAGUAAUUUAUUAAAUAAUAAUUAAUAAUGAAAUCUUUUAAAGAUGUGC
This 329-nucleotide ribosomal RNA is filed under the name Caerostris sp. LB-2014c. Its description in RNAcentral is "mitochondrial SSU rRNA". The record is from RNAcentral. Lineage: Eukaryota; Metazoa; Arthropoda; Arachnida; Araneae; Araneidae.